This 21-nucleotide non-coding RNA is filed under the name Caenorhabditis elegans. The record is from RNAcentral. Lineage: Eukaryota; Metazoa; Nematoda; Chromadorea; Rhabditida; Rhabditidae.
UCGGCACAUAACAAAUGUUGA